This 830-nucleotide ribosomal RNA is filed under the name Sphingobacterium spiritivorum. Its description in RNAcentral is "bacterial SSU rRNA". It matches the Rfam family "Bacterial small subunit ribosomal RNA", at positions 61 to 889 of the family's 1533-position model. The record is from RNAcentral. Lineage: Bacteria; Pseudomonadati; Bacteroidota; Sphingobacteriia; Sphingobacteriales; Sphingobacteriaceae.
GUCGAACGAGAUUAUCCAGCUUGCUGGAUAUGAAAGUGGCGCACGGGUGCGUAACUCGUGAGCAACCUACCUCUGUCAGGGGGAUAGCCCGGCGAAAGUCGGAUUAACACCGCAUGACAUUAUUGAUGUGGCAUCACAUUAUAAUCAAAUAUUUAUAGGACAGAGAUGGGCUCGCGUGACAUUAGCUAGUUGGAGAGGUAACGGCUCACCAAGGCAACGAUGUCUAGGGGCUCUGAGAGGAGAAUCCCCCACACUGGUACUGAGACACGGACCAUACUCCUACGGGAGGCAGCAGUAAGGAAUAUUGGUCAAUGGAGGGAACUCUGAACCAGCCAUGCCGCGUGCAGGAUGACUGCCCUAUGGGUUGUAAACUGCUUUUGUCGGGGAAUAAACCUACGUUUGUAAACGUAGCUGAAUGUACCCGAAGAAUAAGGAUCGGCUAACUCCGUGCCAGCAGCCGCGGUAAUACGGAGGAUCCAAGCGUUAUCCGGAUUUAUUGGGUUUAAAGGGUGCGUAGGCGGUUCUUUAAGUCAGAGGUGAAAGACGGCAGCUUAACUGUCGCAGUGCCUUUGAUACUGAAGAACUUGAAUUAGGUUGAGGAAUGCGGAAUGAGACAAGUAUCGGUGAAAUGCAUAUAUAUGUCUCAGAACCCCGAGUGCGAAGGCAGCAUUCCAAGCCUUUAUUGACGCUGAUGCACGAAAGCGUGGGGAUCGAACAGGAUUAGAUACCCUGGUAGUCCACGCCCUAAACGAUGAUAACUCGAUGUUGGCGAUAGACAGUCAGCGUCCCAGCGAAAGCGUUAAUUUAUCCACCUGGGGGAGUACGCCCGC